RNAcentral lists this ribosomal RNA (270 nucleotides) under uncultured bacterium. Its description in RNAcentral is "partial 16S ribosomal RNA". It matches the Rfam family "Bacterial small subunit ribosomal RNA", at positions 524 to 794 of the family's 1533-position model. The record is from RNAcentral.
UACGAAGGGGGCUAGCGUUGUUCGGAAUUACUGGGCGUAAAGCGAGUGUAGGUGGUUGCCGUAGUCAGGUGUGAAAGCCUUGAGCUCAACUCAAGAAAUGCACUUGAUACUGGAAGACUAGAGGACCGGAGAGGAUAGUGGAAUUCCCAGUGUAGUGGUGAAAUACGUAGAGAUUGGGAAGAGCACCAGUGGCGAAGGCGGCUAUCUGGACGGUUUCUGACGCUAAGACGCGAAAGCUGGGGAGCAAACAGGAUUAGAAACCCUUGUAGU